RNAcentral lists this ribosomal RNA (452 nucleotides) under uncultured Chloroflexota bacterium. RNAcentral describes it as "bacterial SSU rRNA". It matches the Rfam family "Bacterial small subunit ribosomal RNA", at positions 920 to 1382 of the family's 1533-position model. The record is from RNAcentral. Lineage: Bacteria; Bacillati; Chloroflexota.
CCCGCACAAGCAGCGGAGCGUGUGGUUUAAUUCGAUGCAACACGAAGAACCUUACCAGGGCUUGACAUGUUAGAAGUAGGAACCCGAAAGGGGACGACCAGUAUCCAAUCUGGAGCUAACACAGGUGCUGCAUGGCUGUCGUCAGCUCGUGCCGUGAGGUGUAUGGUUAAGUCCCACAACGAGCGCAACCCUCGUCGCUAGUUAAUUUCCCUAGCGAGACCGCCUCGCAAAACGAGGAGGAAGGCGGGGAUGGCGUCAAGUCAGCAUGGCCUUUAUACCCUGGGCGACACACACGCUACAAUGGGUGGUACAGUAGGUAGCGAAGGAGCGAUCCGGAGCAAAUCCUUAAAACCAUCCUCAGUACGGAUUGCAGGCUGAAACCCGCCUGCAUGAAGCCGGAGUUGCUAGUAACCGCAUAUCAGCAUGGUGCGGUGAAUACGUUCCCGGGCCUU